Non-coding RNA from Poecilia reticulata (guppy), 405 nucleotides. NCBI's taxonomy places the organism in Eukaryota, Metazoa, Chordata, Actinopteri, Cyprinodontiformes, Poeciliidae. The record is from RefSeq and is a predicted model, not a curated record.
AAGCCCUCAUUGGCAGUUUGCUCUUCCCCAUUAUCUUCAUCAUCCUCUGUGUGGCGUUCUUCAUCAGGACGAUGARAAAAUCCAGGAAUGAUGAUGAAGAACAGAAGCUCUUCUCAACAGUCAUUUAUACUAACAUGCCACUUCCCAAACUCAUCAAAAGUGACUGAUGAGGAUCUGAUGGAAAUGCAGAUCAAGAAAACAUUUAAUGUUUUUAUGUUCUGAUGCUUGAGAAAUGUAAAUCUUGAAAACUGCAGCCGAUGAUCCACCUUUUUACAGUAACUGUCCUCCCUGAACCUCAGACAUGAUUUGUUGGACUUUUCAGAUCUUUGUAUUUUAUCAAAUUCAUUCUUAUGUUGCAUAUUCUCCAAGUCAAAAAAUGAAGCCAAUCACCACUUGAAUUUUACA